GCGUCUGUAAGCAGGAGGUGAAGGUCAUCUUCUCGUCCCGUGGGGCGGGCGGAAGGUUUCAAAGUCUCAGCUGGGAGGCCUGAGUGGCCCCGCAAAUGCUCCACAUCGGGAGGACCAAGCUGUGUCUGUAUCUUCUUGUCUGGGCUGAAGAUGCUGUGUUGCAUCGGAGGAAGCAGGCUGGCCAGCUAAUGGCCCUGGGACACCUGGACGACCCACCAGGUAGAGUC
This is a non-coding RNA of Delphinapterus leucas (beluga whale), 227 nucleotides long. The record is from RefSeq and is a predicted model, not a curated record. NCBI's taxonomy places the organism in Eukaryota, Metazoa, Chordata, Mammalia, Artiodactyla, Monodontidae.